This 876-nucleotide ribosomal RNA is filed under the name uncultured bacterium. RNAcentral's name for it is "bacterial SSU rRNA". It matches the Rfam family "Bacterial small subunit ribosomal RNA", at positions 1 to 862 of the family's 1533-position model. The record is from RNAcentral.
GCCGCGAAUUCGCCCUUAGGGUUUGAUUCUGGCUCAGAUUGAACGCUGGCGGCAGGCCUAACACAUGCAAGUCGAGCGGAUGAAGGGAGCUUGCUCCUGGAUUCAGCGGCGGACGGGUGAGUAAUGCCUAGGAAUCUGCCUGGUAGUGGGGGAUAACGUCCGGAAACGGGCGCUAAUACCGCAUACGUCCUGAGGGAGAAAGUGGGGGAUCUUCGGACCUCACGCUAUCAGAUGAGCCUAGGUCGGAUUAGCUAGUUGGUGGGGUAAAGGCCUACCAAGGCGACGAUCCGUAACUGGUCUGAGAGGAUGAUCAGUCACACUGGAACUGAGACGCGGUCCAGACUCCUACGGGAGGCAGCAGUGGGGAAUAUUGGACAAUGGGCGAAAGCCUGAUCCAGCCAUGCCGCGUGUGUGAAGAAGGUCUUCGGAUUGUAAAGCACUUUAAGUUGGGAGGAAGGGCAGUAAGUUAAUACCUUGCUGUUUUGACGUUACCAACAGAAUAAGCACCGGCUAACUUCGUGCCAGCAGCCGCGGUAAUACGAAGGGUGCAAGCGUUAAUCGGAAUUACUGGGCGUAAAGCGCGCGUAGGUGGUUCAGCAAGUUGGAUGUGAAAUCCCCGGGCUCAACCUGGGAACUGCAUCCAAAACUACUGAGCUAGAGUACGGUAGAGGGUGGUGGAAUUUCCUGUGUAGCGGUGAAAUGCGUAGAUAUAGGAAGGAACACCAGUGGCGAAGGCGACCACCUGGACUGAUACUGACACUGAGGUGCGAGAGCGUGGGGAGCAAACAGGAUUAGAUACCCUGGUAGUCCACGCCGUAAACGAUGUCGACUAGCCGUUGGGAUCCUUGAGAUCUUAGUGGCGCAGCUAACGCGAUA